Actinia tenebrosa (Australian red waratah sea anemone) is the source of this 529-nucleotide long non-coding RNA. RefSeq lists it as uncharacterized. The record is from RefSeq and is a predicted model, not a curated record. Lineage: Eukaryota; Metazoa; Cnidaria; Anthozoa; Actiniaria; Actiniidae.
UAAUGGUAAGGUACGUCACGUGAUAAGCACAUGGCAUGUGAGAAAAGGGUAGCGGUCAAGCACAUGGAGUGCGAGAAAGCUUGUUGUUUUCUGUGUUUAUUGGUAGCUAGAAUUCCCAAAUAGUUCGAAAACCGCCAUUCACCAACGCAACGUAUGAACACAGUGGUUCGUUGAUUGUACAAAGUUAUGCAAUAAAGUUUGGUAAGAUGAACAAGCAGGCGCGUUUCGUCUAAUGAUUUCCGUAGCUACCACCCGCUCCUGGGGUCAGGAGUAACAGUGGCAGAGUGCAAGAGAUUAGCUGUAGAUAUGGUCUGGGGGCCGGCUAGUCUCUCCCUGAUGCUUCGGCUAGAACACUAUCCUGCGUAAUCCGUACACCCAAGGGCAGAGGGACUUAAUCGCCGUCAUGUCCGAAGUCCAUACGAUGACCCAGCGGAUGUCUUGGGGUAUGGCAUGAAGGCACUAGUUUCUUUUUCUUCUGUAUCUUGGAAUUAAUUAUCUAGCUGAUUAAAGUUUAUGGACCGUACUUAAA